Molecule: ribosomal RNA, 831 nt
Filed under: uncultured bacterium
Lineage: Bacteria
Description: bacterial SSU rRNA
Rfam family: Bacterial small subunit ribosomal RNA
Source: RNAcentral
UUUACACAUGCAAGUCGAACGGCAGCGCGGGGCAACCUGGCGGCGAGUGGCGAACGGGUGAGUAAUAUAUCGGAACGUACCCAGAAGUGGGGGAUAACGUAGCGAAAGUUACGCUAAUACCGCAUACGAUCUACGGAUGAAAGUGGGGGACCUUCGGGCCUCAUGCUUGUGGAGCGGCCGAUAUCUGAUUAGCUAGUUGGUGAGGUAAAGGCUCACCAAGGCGACGAUCAGUAGCUGGUCUGAGAGGACGACCAGCCACACUGGGACUGAGACACGGCCCAGACUCCUACGGGAGGCAGCAGUGGGGAAUUUUGGACAAUGGGCGCAAGCCUGAUCCAGCAAUGCCGCGUGAGUGAAGAAGGCCUUCGGGUUGUAAAGCUCUUUUGUCAGGGAAGAAACGGCCGAGGCUCAUACCUUUGGCUAAUGACGGUACCUGAAGAAUAAGCACCGGCUAACUACGUGCCACAGCCGCGGUAAUACGUAGGGUGCAAGCGUUAAUCGGAAUUACUGGGCGUAAAGCGUGCGCAGGCGGUUUUGUAAGUCUGACGUGAAAUCCCCGAGCUUAACUUGUGAAUUGCGUUUGGAGACUGCAAGGCUAGAGUCUGGCCGAGGGGGGUAGAAUUCCACGUGUAGCAGUGAAAUGCGUAGAGAUGUGGAGGAACACCGAUGGCGUAGCAGCCCCCUGGGUUAAGACUGACGCUCAUGCACGAAACCGUGGGGAGCAAACCGGAUUAAUACCCUGGUAGUCCACGCCCUAACGAUGUCUACUAGUUGUCCGGGUUUUAAUUAACUUGGUAAUGCAGUUCACUGCGGGAAGUAAACCGCCUGGGG